GGAACUUCCUUAACAUAUUGUUCUGGAACUUGUUUCAACCCAGACCCACCUUGGGGAACUAUUCCUUAAAAACAGGUCUUGAGGUAAACAUCCAGGAACUUGGCCAGUUCCUGGGUAUUGACCUGAGACAUUUUUCACAUAACACAGAUUGUUCUUGAGGUCAGAGAGUUUUGGCCAAAACUCUCAGGUCCUUAGGAUUAAUCACCUCUUCCCUGGCUCCCUGCCUUCUUUGUGUAAGGAUAACCAAAAGGGUCUUUCUUGGGAAAGUGACUUUGGGAGUCUCCCUCAGAGAGGACGCUCUGCCGUAGGGACUUUUCCAACAGAGACCGGGAGGGCUGUGAUACAGGACUCCCCCAGCCAGAUGUGCAGGAGUUGGUGCUUCCUGGGACUGAUGCAUAUACUUCAGUGAACGCCCUGGAAAGUGAGUGUAAUGCACAUGUGGAUCAUCUAGCCAAAAUAGCAACAAUAAAGCAAGAAGAUCAAGAGUAUUAUUCAUUAAUUAGCACAAUGGGCACAUUGACAAGCCGGACACCUUGGAGUCCAAGCCUUACACACGUGGGCUUUGGACAGGGAAAUUUCCCUCCCAAUACCUCUAUUAAAACAAAUACAAUCUGAGUGUUCCGCAUGGCAGAUGGAAAAGGAGUGACCAAUUCCCUGCACCAUUAAAGGUGAACCAGCCCGAGGAAGGCUGCCCACCCACAUUUGGCAAAUAGAUUAUGUUGGUCCCUUACCAAUGGACAGAGUUCACUGGCAUAUUUGUACCUGUGUAACUUAUUCUGGCAUAUUGGUGGCAUGCCCAUAUAAGAAUGCCACUCAGAAAAAUACUUGUAGGACUAUAGAUAUCAUUACUUUAUAUUAUGAAUCCUCUCUACAAAUACAAAGUGACUGUAGAACACAUUUUAAGGGAAAAGAAAUAGACUACUAUUGUUCAUAUAGAAUGGAUUUAUCAUAUACCGUAUUAUCCCCAAGCAGUGGGACUCAUUGAAAGGAUGAAUAGGUUAUUAAAAGAGAAACUUAGACAACUUGUCAACAACUCUUAUGCACAUUGGAAAGAUAAUGUAUUUGAAGCUUUAUGAUAGCUAAACAAUUGGCCUCUAAAAGAGGGAUUAACCCCUUUAGGAUGAAUGAUGACCCCUAAUGUUCAAAUAAGGAUGCAGAGGCUGAAAAAUCUAACAUUGCAAUGGUGGGCUUGUGAUCCACAUUGGCCCAGAACCAGUGGUUUGCUCCAUGGCAUCUGGAGUGGCACAAUUAGUAAUUUCUACCUAUUUCAAGAAUCAAUGGGAGCAAGUAGCAGAACUACCUUCAAUUUCAACCAGGUAUGGAGGAUUUGGAAGUACUGAUUUAAGAGUAGGAUCUAAAGUAUGGGUUAAAAGAUAUGCCUCUCAUAUGCUUUGAGUUGGUGAGACAGUGGCAGAAGGCAAGGAUGUUACCAUGGUAGUGGCAUUUGUUGGAGAUGACGAAUUGUAUCAUUAUCCUCUAACACAAUUGUUUUUACGUGAAUAGUAUAUUACAGUUUAUCUUAUACUUAUUGGAAGAGCAAUGGCACAAUGGGAGAAGAAUACACUGGUGUGGGCAACCACUGGACUAUGAGACUGUUGGGUUUGCCAGGAACAUCCUCAAUCCAGAAAGAAACCUCCCAUCCCAUAGGAUGUGGACUGAAUAAGACAGCAGAACAAAUGCACAACCAUAUAUUUCCUCUAGAUAUGCUUCCUCCCCAUUAAUAAUAUCCCCUGAUCAAAAGACUUUAUUGAACAUUCCCUGCUUUUCCCCAGGAAAUCCAUUCUAUAAUGUGACAUAUAAUGAAAGUUAACAUUUUGGGAGGAUUUUAAUAUCCCUAGAAGAGAGGGCCCAAAUUGGCCCUUCCACCUAUUCAUGUUUUAGUAGUGAUGAUUUUAUGAAUUUCUUGCCUAAUUUUAUACAUAUAGCUUGUGAUAAUUAUACUCACUCUCCUACUCUAUUUAAUAGAAUUAGUGUCUAUAUGUAUUUGCCUACUAAUUGUUCUUACUGGUUUACACUAAACUGCUUGACUUCUUUCAUUUCAUCAAGGUUACAAGCUUUUUUUUUUUACAAGUGAAGCCCUUGUAUUGGUUCUCUCCAUAUGGGUGAUGCUUGUGGUAUGCCCCAUAGGAGAUGUUGUUUCCAAUCCAUGGAUAGGUCAUAUCUAGAGGUCGACUGAAUGGUUAAUGUGUAAGAUCUUCCUUACCCACAACCCAAGCCAAGGGACAAGGAACUUCCUUAACAUAUUGUUCUGGAACUUGUUUCAACCCAGACCCACCUUGGGGAACUAUUCCUUAAAAACAGGUCUUGAGGUAAACAUCCAGGAACUUGGCCAGUUCCUGGGUAUUGACCUGAGACAUUUUUCACAUAACACAGAUUGUUCUUGAGGUCAGAGAGUUUUGGCCAAAACUCUCAGGUCCUUAGGAUUAAUCACCUCUUCCCUGGCUCCCUGACUUCUUUGUGUAAGGAUGACAAAACGGGUCUUUCUUGGGAAAGUGACUUUGGGAGUCUCCCCCAGAGAGGACGCUCUGCCGUAGGGACUUUCCCAACUGAGACCCUGAGGGCUGUGAUACAGGGAUACAGGACUCCCCCAGCCAGAUGUGCAGGAGUUGGUGCUUCCUUGGACUGAUUUCACUUGCCUCAAUAACCUGUGAUCUGGCACUAUAAUCAUUCAUUAUUGACCAUCUUGGAAUUCCUUACCUCCUAAAGAUCUUCCACCAUUACUGGUCUGCCAGUCGUCAACCCUGGAUCACCCACACCAUCUGACUACUCUGUUUCUGCUCUUGGGUUUCUGGUAAGUCAGUGGAGAAAUGCUAAAAAUUGAACUGAUUUCAUCCCUUUUGAAUGGAUGGUAUAUGACAUCAGCUGGGUUCUUUUUUCAGACCUUGAAACUUUGGGCAAAUGGCUUCACCACUUUGGACCUGAGUUCCCUUAUCUAUAAAGUGAGAGGAUUGGAUUAGACCAUUUCCAAGACCUCUCCCAGCUCUAACAAUCUAAGAUGAUAUUCUCUGGCCCCACAAUGGCUAAUCCCAGCUACAAUUGUACAGCAACCAAAAGUAUCUUCUUCAAUCUCCUCUUUCCAUUUCAGCCUCUCUUUAUACCAGAGUAAAUAUUUCUCUCAGAUGCUUGGUACUGAUAAGGCUGGGAUCUAGACUGCAAAAAGGAAAAACUCUGGACUUUUCCACAUGGCCAAAUUUCUGGUGUUUACCUGAGGCUAUA
Phascolarctos cinereus (koala) is the source of this 3216-nucleotide non-coding RNA. The record is from RefSeq and is a predicted model, not a curated record. NCBI's taxonomy places the organism in Eukaryota, Metazoa, Chordata, Mammalia, Diprotodontia, Phascolarctidae.